Molecule: ribosomal RNA, 294 nt
Filed under: Foraminifera environmental sample
Lineage: Eukaryota; Foraminifera
Description: partial Bacterial small subunit ribosomal RNA
Rfam family: Bacterial small subunit ribosomal RNA
Source: RNAcentral
GUCAAGUCAUUAUGCUCUUUUUUCAGAGAUAUUCAUGUGUUACAAAGUUUGCCACUAGAGAUCUUACUACAUGAGAACAGGUUAGUGAAAAGGUUAUCAUCCGAAUUGAAAACUGAAAUGUCUUCAUGAAGGAGGAAUUAUUUGGAAUCUUUGGUUAGUUACUUAAAGGUGAACAGGAGAUAAAUUUUGCACAUACUGCCCGUCAAGCAAAAAGCAGAGAUGUAGAUUUAAACAGACCUUUGUAAAAUUGUAACAUUCGCAUUCUAAUUUGUGUUAAGUCGAAACAUGGUAGCU